UGAGAUCCAGAGUUUUACUUUAUUAGACAUCUGUGAAGACAAGAGAGUUUGCAGAUAUGAUCCUGUCCAGUUGUGAACUGCUGCAAAGUUCUGUGAUGUUUGGAUUUAUCUUGUAGUGAACAAGACUCCCAGUGGCAGAGAUUUUAAAAUAUCGUUCUAUAUUCCAAGCAAAUGAGAGGUGUUAGUGACAUUAUGGCCAACAACUUUUAUACUAGUCAUCCACUUAAGCCGUUCCCCAGCAUACAUAUGCAGCUUAAUCACAGCGAUUACAUCUCUACAUGUGAAAUUCGAUCUUCACCUAAUAAUGCAUUUUUACUCCUGUUUAUAUUGGUGCAUGCGAUUCACUGCUACCCUGGCAAUUAACCAGAUCUGGACUCUAAAAGCUAAACUUGGUCUAAAUAACAUUCUAAGGGUGGGGCAGGCUCUGUAAUCUACACUUAUCUUAGCCAACACUGCAAAAUCACUCCUGUGGCUCCUCCUCUUCCUAUCAUGUCUGUCUGUAACCUGUCACUUGGCAUGUAUUAAUACCUGCUGAAUACUCAAAAGGCAGACACAAAGGAAACCAGUAGUCCUGCUUCCAAGAAAGGCAACUAUCAGAUAAUAUACCAAGGGCAACUGAGUAACUGGUCAGGACCACAGGCCUUCUAGAAACUUUCUAAGAUUAGGAAUAUGACCAAGUAUACUCAUCCAGUGCUCUUAUUCUAGAGUAUUUCAGUGAGGGAAAGGGAUGGAUUUAAGGAUUUUGUUUAAGGAGUUUGACUCCUUAAGGGGCUACAUCUUUGGGGCCAGAAGAAAAUCCAGAAAACUAUCACCCCUGCCUAUCAUCAGUUUGCCAACACUGCAGAUUUCUAUAAGGUCAUUUAAGAGAAAUAGCAGACAAAGAAUUACCCUUAAUGCAUUACAGGAAGCGUGUUACACUAGCAGGGAAAGAGGGGCUUGACUCUAUUACUCAACUUACACUCAACCCAACAGAAAACCUUGGUUUAUGUACCUCUUGGUUCCUCCCUUUGACCCUGGGGUACACAGCGGACCAAAGUUAGUCCUUAGAGUGACUGCUUUGCCCCACGAGAAGAGCUCAACAACCCCACCAGACGCAAAGAGUUUUCAUAAGUUUUUCCGCACAGUCACAUUGCUUACAGAACCGGAAUGUUCAGCUCUCAAAGUCUGGACAGGAGAAUUGGUACAUUAUUAUAUGUUCCUUUAACCAUAACCUGCGACUCUUUGGGAAGGAUGCACUAUGGAAAGGUCCAGUGAAGCUGUUGAUCCGUGUGUUCAGAGUAUUCUGAUCCUAGGUGCUUCUGACUAUUGCUCAGCUUGUGUACACAGUCCAUCGCUUAUUAUCAGCCCAAACUGAUGAUUAGUGAGAGCAAUUUAGAAAUGAAACUGGAAGAUUAAGGGUAGCAAUAUCAGCAACAAAAAUUAAAAAGCAUUUUCCUUUUUUUAAACAAAAGCACACUGUAGAAAUAAAGAUUCUGUACAAGAUUCUACUAUUGUAUGUACCUAAAAUUAUAUUACUCAUAACUAAGUUGAAACGUUUUAUUUCUAGACUAUGGCUAGCAACACCAAACAGGGACUCAUGACAUUGAGCUUUUGAAGCACAGCGGGCAGCAGGGGACCCCUAGCAAAUACGCCUUGGUGCCUGAAUGCACAAUCCCACAGCUCAGUUGCAGAAUUCAUAUUCCCUAGUUCUGUAUUUUGUUCAUGAUUCACAUUCUAGCAGAAAAUUCUGCAGCAGGCAAUGUGAAAAAGAAGACACAUUGAAAUGAGAUUUGAAAUGCUAUUUAAAAUCUGCAUAUUGGCUAGGAUAAUGGGUUUGUGAAUCCAACUUGCAUUUGAAGUUCGUUUUCUCAUUCCCUACUCAUUUAUUAUGCAUGCCUCCAGUGACUGCAAAUCGGAAUGAAUUCCAGCAGGUGGAGAAGACAGCUUUGAACAGAUCGGAUGGAUUGAGUCAGAUUCUUGAUUCUUUAUCCUCAGUUGGCUCCUAAAUGUUGGAGGAAACGGGCUUUGUGCAGUGGAGAAGGAGAUAAUGUAGUCAACACUUCUUCAGGCAUCCCUGUUCUCCAGGUUCCUUUCCUACCAU
This is a long non-coding RNA of Heterocephalus glaber (naked mole-rat), 2080 nucleotides long. The record is from Ensembl. NCBI's taxonomy places the organism in Eukaryota, Metazoa, Chordata, Mammalia, Rodentia, Bathyergidae.